UAGGGAAUCUUCCACAAUGGGCGAAAGCCUGAUGGAGCAACGCCGCGUGUGUGAUGAAGGCUUUCGGGUCGUAAAGCACUGUUGUAUGGGAAGAACAGCUAGAAUAGGAAAUGAUUUUAGUUUGACAGUACCAUACCAGAAAGGGACGGCUAAAUACGUGCCAG
RNAcentral lists this ribosomal RNA (164 nucleotides) under uncultured bacterium. RNAcentral's name for it is "partial 16S ribosomal RNA". It matches the Rfam family "Bacterial small subunit ribosomal RNA", at positions 355 to 511 of the family's 1533-position model. The record is from RNAcentral.